RNAcentral lists this ribosomal RNA (221 nucleotides) under uncultured bacterium. Its description in RNAcentral is "partial 16S ribosomal RNA". It matches the Rfam family "Bacterial small subunit ribosomal RNA", at positions 524 to 741 of the family's 1533-position model. The record is from RNAcentral.
UACGUAGGGGUGCAAGCGUUUGUCCGGAAUUAUUGGGCGUAAAGAGCUCGUAGGCGGUCUGUCGCGUCGGCUGUGAAAACCCGGGGCUCAACCCCGGGCCUGCAGUCGAUACGGGCAGACUAGAGUGCGGUAGGGGAGACUGGAAUUCCGGGUGUAGUGGUGAAAUGCGUAGAGAUCCGGAAGAACACCGGUGGCGAAGGCGGUUAGCUGGGCGAGUUGCU